CUGCUGCUCGCUCGCCGGGGGAGACUUAAAAGAAUCCCGAACACCAAAACCCCCGGGGCCCAACUUCGGCUGUGGUGUGCAGGCCCAGACUUUUUCACUGGGGAGCCUAAAGCAGCCAGACAGGCCCCACCUUGUAAAAGUGGUAAGGGGUUCUCGUGUCUCCCCCGGCGAGCCAGCAGCCAG
Molecule: non-coding RNA, 183 nt
Filed under: Myxococcales bacterium
Lineage: Bacteria; Pseudomonadati; Myxococcota; Myxococcia; Myxococcales
Description: 6S RNA
Rfam family: 6S / SsrS RNA
About the family: E. coli 6S RNA was the first non coding RNA to be sequenced, but its function was unknown until recently.
Source: RNAcentral